GUACUACUCUCUUCAUUUCAAAAUUCUUAUCUUAAAUUUGUCUAGAUAUGAAUGUAUCUAGUCACAUUUUAGUAUUUAGAUACAUCCAUUUUUAAACAAACUUAAGAUAAGAAUUUUGGGACGAAGGGAGUAUAAC
Molecule: microRNA precursor, 136 nt
Filed under: Hordeum vulgare
Lineage: Eukaryota; Viridiplantae; Streptophyta; Magnoliopsida; Poales; Poaceae
Description: microRNA MIR1122
Rfam family: MIR1120/MIR1122 microRNA precursor family
Source: RNAcentral